This is a long non-coding RNA of Camelus dromedarius (Arabian camel), 244 nucleotides long. RefSeq lists it as uncharacterized. The record is from RefSeq and is a predicted model, not a curated record. The transcript is spliced from 3 exons. Lineage: Eukaryota; Metazoa; Chordata; Mammalia; Artiodactyla; Camelidae.
ACAGGAUCACCAGGUUGAUGUACCCCUCCUCUGAACCACCCCUCCCUUGUUGGCAGAUCCAUUGUCCACUCUUCUGUGCUUGUCCUGUGUCCUGGAAAGCUGACUUCUAUGGCCUGAAUUACCCAGUCUCCCUUGUCCUCUGAGCUGAUGGAAGGCACUGGCCAGGACCACGUGUUCGGGUUAGCUGGCUGCAUUCCCACCGUCCGUUUCCUCUCCAGUCCCUUGCAUGUGGUGAGUGGUCAGC